This 491-nucleotide ribosomal RNA is filed under the name uncultured bacterium. Its description in RNAcentral is "partial 16S ribosomal RNA". It matches the Rfam family "Bacterial small subunit ribosomal RNA", at positions 29 to 506 of the family's 1533-position model. The record is from RNAcentral.
AGUGAACGCUGGCGGUAGGCCUAACACAUGCAAGUCGAACGGCAGCACAGUAAGAGCUUGCUCUUACGGGUGGCGAGUGGCGGACGGGUGAGGAAUACAUCGGAAUCUACUUUUUCGUGGGGGAUAACGUAGGGAAACUUACGCUAAUACCGCAUACGACCUACGGGUGAAAGCAGGGGAUCUUCGGACCUUGCGCGAUUGAAUGAGCCGAUGUCGGAUUAGCUAGUUGGCGGGGUAAAGGCCCACCAAGGCGACGAUCCGUAGCUGGUCUGAGAGGAUGAGCAACCACCCUGGAACUGAGACACGGUCCAGACCCCGAGGGGGGGCAGCAUGGGGGAAUAUUGGAAAAGGGGCGCAAGCCUGCUCCAGCCAUACCGGGUGGGUAAAGAAGGCCUUCGGGUUGUAAAGCCCUUUUGUUGGGAAAGAAAAGCAGCAGGUUAAUACCCCGCUGUUCUGACGGUACCCAAAGAAUAAGCACCGGCUAACUUCGU